AUUUAGCUGAUGAGUUCCAAAUAGGACAAAAUGCAUGUCCUGAAU
Non-coding RNA from Schistosoma curassoni, 45 nucleotides. NCBI's taxonomy places the organism in Eukaryota, Metazoa, Platyhelminthes, Trematoda, Strigeidida, Schistosomatidae. The record is from Rfam.